GUGAAAGGAGGCCUUUGCAAAAUAGAAAAAGUACUUUCAUUCCAGAGAGAGCCCUAGGAAUAAAAAAAAAGAGGAAUCUGCAAAGAAAAGCAGUAGGGGAGAGAGCUAAUACCACUAGUUUCAUUCUCAUAAGGGAAAGAGAGACAUUUUAGAAAAGAUCUAUUGUGUGAACUUGAAAACAAGAUGUAGGGUCAGAAAUGCUGUGGUGGCAGGUCCGUGGAGGAAGUAGCCAUCAAAUAAUAGCCUUGAUUGCAAGCCAGUGUUAAUUAGGCUUGUGGGGCCCUCAAUGAGCAAAGAAGAUUGAGCUCUAACCAUCAGUUCCCCACAUGAAGGUUUAUUGUAAUAUGAAAAAGUUAUUUAAAUUUCACUUCACGUUGUCCUUUUGAAUCCUCGCAUUAAUAAAAUCGUUUUCAGUGGAAAUAGCAGCAGCAAGAAAUAGAAAAUACUAACAGCAAGAUUUUUUUUUUUAAUGCCCAUAAGAAGCAGCUUGGAAAUUGACACUCGGUUGCCAGGCACGUUUUACAGCUUUGCUCUUUACCAUGGACCAGAGAUAAUUUUCCUUAUGGAGAAUUUACAAGUUUCCAGAUGCAUUAUGCUGAAGAUAGCCAGGAUCCAGUACAAGGUUGGUGUCCCACUACAAAGCAAGGGCCUGCCACAACCAGAUGCAUGUUUCAACGACAUCGAAAGACUCACCUUGGACUCAUUGCUGACUUGUCAACCAGAACUCCAAUAUCUGAGUUUGUCAAGGUGCUACUCUUUGACUCAGUUGACCUUCCUUCUCCCUUCCUUCUCCCUUCCUUUUCCUUCUACUCUGGUCACUGCCUUCAAUUCCUUCCCCUCUCUAUGUUUGUCUUGUAGAUCUCAAAGGACGUGGAGUGUAUUUGUAUUAUCAUAUAAAGCACGUGAAAUUAUGGUUUUCUCUGUGAAUUUUUCUAAAAGCAUACUUUGAAUUCUAUUGUUGGUAUUUCCAGUGAGAAGCAUAGAGCACAUGGUAG
This 995-nucleotide long non-coding RNA is filed under the name Pan troglodytes (chimpanzee). RNAcentral's name for it is "lncRNA (ENSPTRG00000053280.1)". Lineage: Eukaryota; Metazoa; Chordata; Mammalia; Primates; Hominidae. The record is from RNAcentral.